AUUGAACGCUGGCGGCAUGCCUAACACAUGCAAGUCGAGCGGAUGAAGGGAGCUUGCUCCUGGAUUCAGCGGCGGACGGGUGAGUAAUGCCUAGGAAUCUGCCUGGUAGUGGGGGAUAACGUCCGGAAACGGGCGCUAAUACCGCAUACGUCCUGAGGGAGAAAGUGGGGGAUCUUCGGACCUCACGCUAUCAGAUGAGCCUAGGGCGGAUUAGCUAGUUGGUGGGGUAAAGGCCUACCAAGGCGACGAUCCGUAAAUGGACUGAGAGGAUGAUCAGUCACACUGGAAGUGGGACACGGUCCAGACUCCUACGGGAGGCAGCAGUGGGGAAUGUUGGGCAGUGGGGGAAAACAUGGUACAACCGUGGCGCGUGUGUGAAGAAGGUCUUCGGAUUGUAAAGCCCUUUAAGUUGGGAGGAAGGGCAGUAAGUUAAUACCUUGCUGUUUUGACGGUACCGACAGAAUAAGCACCGGCUAACUUCGUG
Molecule: ribosomal RNA, 484 nt
Filed under: uncultured bacterium
Lineage: Bacteria
Description: partial 16S ribosomal RNA
Rfam family: Bacterial small subunit ribosomal RNA
Source: RNAcentral